This is a long non-coding RNA of Peromyscus leucopus (white-footed mouse), 590 nucleotides long. RefSeq lists it as uncharacterized. Lineage: Eukaryota; Metazoa; Chordata; Mammalia; Rodentia; Cricetidae. The transcript has 2 exons. The record is from RefSeq and is a predicted model, not a curated record.
CCACGUCCCUGUCGUCGUCCUCGUCCGCAGCCAGCAGGCACAGUACCACGUUGUCGGGGUCACUGCGGACAGCACGGGCAGCGGUAUAUUGAUCCGCAAUGGAUUGGGAUGAAGCAACAGCUGCCUUGCCAUGGACAGUUUGAGAAGCAAUGAACUGGCCAGCCACCGUAGACCUGGGCAUCACUGGGCAGAGGUGAACUCCACACCUGCUCCUUGCUGUCCUCGGUCACACCACACUUAUUCCCACCACCCAGCUUUAGUUCUGAUAAUCUGUCUUCCUCAGUACCCAUGAGGCUUGCAUUUUACCAUCCCUUCUCAGCCUCAGUUGCUGGCUAGUCGCUGACUUUUCAUUCACCAUCCUGUGCUGCCCAACACAAGUAGCCACCAGCCACGUGUGCCUACCGUACACUUGACAUACAGCAAGCCUAAUGAGGAGGCAAGGCAAGUGUCAAUACAAUGGACUUCAAGGACUUACUCAGAAAAUUAUUUAAAGGAGCUCCUUGAUAAUUUAAUGGUUAUUCUGUGCUGAAAUGAUGCCCUGGGUAUACUGUAUUCGUUUAAAUAAGAUAAAGCUAUAAAAUUAAGUAUAA